UGUAUUUACGACAGAUGGAGGCAGUGGAUCGGUUUCCACAUCAAGAGUCUUUCUUCAUUAAAAGAGAGUCGGGGAUUUUUUCAGAUAUCAGGAUUGCCUAAAUUUGUAUUUUGUCUUCUGACUUUUUUUUAUGGAUGAAACUAAGCUGAAACCAUCACUUGCAAUCCAAAAAUGUCACAUUAACGUGUGUUAAAAUGAGCUGUAUACAUGUGAAUUUAGCAAUAACUGUCUUGUGAUAGACUGGUAUGCAAUGAUAUUCAUCAGAUUCUACUUAAUUUCAGACUGGUUCAAGGUGCAUACAGCCUCUCACUUUAUUUGUUUAAUCUUUUGAUCACUUGCCAUGCUUGCAGUGUGAUUGCAUCUUUUUUUCUUAUCCCUCUGAGUUAAAAAGACAAAGAUGCUUUCAGGUUACAUACUGGUCCAUGCCAUCAAUGUAUCAGGGAUUUCAUAUUUCGAACGAAAUGUGAGAAUAUGAAUUUCAAAAAUCAAGAAAAAAAAAAAAAGAAUUAUAAAUAAAAACUAUGAACAAAAGACUGCACAAAGGGGUGAUUGGCAAUGAUAUGGGUGGAAAGGGCAAGUCUGAGCAGAGAUGGAAGAGAGACAAAGUAGAUACACAAGUUCAGCAACUCAAAAUAAUACAUCACGUACCUGAGAAGGUAGACUAGAAAAAAAAUGGAAAUCUGAUGAAUGGAUCAAGGUGAAUGUGGUAAAAUGAGGUCAUCCAGCCUCGCAAGAAUCCUUAUCUAUUUAGAAAAAAAAUCUUAUAAUAGUGUACUCUGUGCCUCAUUUGACUUGGAAUAAAUUUGCAUUCACUCUAUCAUCCCCCCCCAAAAAAUGGCUUUAUUUCCCAAAAGACAAUUUUGGAGAUAUGGCUGUAUUGUAUCUUCAUAAAAAGAAGAACUUUUAGUACAACAUAUGGUUACGUUUUGACUAUAGGAGUCAAUCAAACAAUGAUAUUCAUCCGAUUUUACUUAAUUUCAAAACUUUUUUUCCUUAACCAGAAACAGGAGCCUUUGGGCAAUAUUUCUAUAAAGACUGACAAAAAAAUGUUUUUUCAAAGUUAAAGGCCACACUGUGAACAGCUUAUCGAAGAAUUACACUGAGAAACUCC
This is a long non-coding RNA of Astatotilapia calliptera (eastern happy), 1111 nucleotides long. NCBI's taxonomy places the organism in Eukaryota, Metazoa, Chordata, Actinopteri, Cichliformes, Cichlidae. The record is from Ensembl.